AACGAACGCUGGCGGCAGGCUUAACACAUGCAAGUCGAACGCCCCGCAAGGGGAGUGGCGCACGGGUGAGUAACGCGUGGAUAUCUGCCUUUUGGUUCGGAAUAACCCCGGGAGACUGGGGCUACUACCGGAUGGUUCCUACGGGAUAAAGAUUUAUCGCGAAAAGAUGAGUUCGCGUACGAUUAGCUAGUUGGUGAGGUAAUGGCACACCAAGGCGACGAUCGUUAGCUGGUCUGAGAGGACGAGCAGCCACACUGGGACUGAGACACGGCCCAGACUCCUACGGGAGGCAGCAGUGGGGAAUAUUGGACAAUGGGGGCAACCCUGAUCCAGCCAUGCCGGGUGAGUGAUGAAGGCCUUCGGGUUGUAAAGCGCUUUUGGCGGGGACGAUGAUGACGGUACCCGCAGAAUAAGCCCCGGCUAACUUCGUG
Molecule: ribosomal RNA, 431 nt
Filed under: uncultured bacterium
Lineage: Bacteria
Description: partial 16S ribosomal RNA
Rfam family: Bacterial small subunit ribosomal RNA
Source: RNAcentral